This 29-nucleotide non-coding RNA is filed under the name Rattus norvegicus (Norway rat). The record is from RNAcentral. Lineage: Eukaryota; Metazoa; Chordata; Mammalia; Rodentia; Muridae.
UCCUGUGGGCCUGUGUCUUGAGUUCACCA